UGGGGAAUAUUGGACAAUGGGCGAAAGCCUGAUCCAGCAAUGCCGCGUGUGUGAAGAAGGCCUGCGGGUUGUAAAGCACUUUCAGUAGAGAAGAAAAGCCUGGGACUAAUACUCCCGGGUCUUGACGUAACCUACAGAAGAAGCACCGGCUAACUCCGUGCCAGCAGCCGCGGUAAUACGGAGGGUGCAAGCGUUAAUCGGAAUUACUGGGCGUAAAGCGUGCGUAGGCGGUUGGGUAAGUCGGAUGUGAAAGCCCCGGGCUUAACCUGGGAAUUGCAUUCGAUACUGCUCAACUAGAGUGUGGGAGAGGGAAGUGGAAUUUCCGGUGUAGCGGUGAAAUGCGUAGAUAUCGGAAGGAACACCAGUGGCGAAGGCGACUUCCUGGCCCAACACUGACGCUCAGGCACGAAAGCAUGGGGAGCAAACAGGAUUAGAUACCCCCGUAGUCC
Molecule: ribosomal RNA, 449 nt
Filed under: uncultured prokaryote
Description: bacterial SSU rRNA
Rfam family: Bacterial small subunit ribosomal RNA
Source: RNAcentral